ACCUUUCGGCUAUUAAACAUGGCCGUACAGUUUCAACACCCGUUUUCUUGUAUUUUAGCAGGACCCUCAAAUUCCGGAAAGAGUUUUUAUGUAAAACGUUUUGUUAAUACAAGCGGAUACGCUAAUGUCGCACAAACUUGACAAUGUCAUUUGGUUUUAUGCAUGUUGGCAGAAAUUGUAUGACGAGCUAACCC
Molecule: long non-coding RNA, 194 nt
Organism: Bufo bufo (common toad)
Lineage: Eukaryota; Metazoa; Chordata; Amphibia; Anura; Bufonidae
Exons: 3
Source: RefSeq, a predicted model, not a curated record